Molecule: long non-coding RNA, 5934 nt
Organism: Anarrhichthys ocellatus (wolf-eel)
Lineage: Eukaryota; Metazoa; Chordata; Actinopteri; Perciformes; Anarhichadidae
Exons: 3
Source: RefSeq, a predicted model, not a curated record
ACAUGACACACAGCUGCACUCUGCAGUGCAACAUGAAGCCACUGAUGUGAUUUAAAGUUGUUUGCCGCCAUCUUGUGGCCUCAUUGGGUAUUACAUCUAUAAUUCAUACUUCAAAGUGAUAUAAGACGGGUUAAAAGGCCUGAGGUUGUGUGUUCAAACCCUAUGUGGCGCAGGAGGUUUGCUCACGACACGAAAGGCGCCCGUGUCGGGUUCAAGUCCUCCUCGGCACCAGCGGAUGUGCAACCAUAAAUAAAACAGCUGCGUAAACAGAACGAAUAGCAACCUCCAAGUGGGUUUUUACAAACAUAUUUGGUGCAUAACGGUCACAAUAAACAUGUCGGUGUGACAUGAGGGAGCCCAGCGCGCUCGGUGCCGCUCUACAACUCCUUCAGCGACGUCCAUCGCUUCAUAGAAACACUGGGAUCAGCUCUCACUGCCAGCAGCCGAUGAACGAGGAUCCACGACUCAUGUUAGAUAAUAAACCUGUGAUGAUGAUGUUUAGAAAUAUGUCCGUGUCCUUGUUUCAGUAGCUCAUGUAAAGCUCUUUAUUUCAGAUUUAGGACUGUUUGAGUUCACUAACAUCCCAGUACUUCCUCAAAGUGUCUCAGUAUUCAAUAUUCUUCAGCUUGUUGCAUCCUAACUGGAGCGUGUUAGUUCUGGAAUCAAAGUAUGCAGGUUUAUAGUCAACAUGAAGCAGUGAGGAAAGAAAGUCAUCUUUAAUUCAGUGUGUUUUUAAUAAAAUGUUUCAGUCAUUUAGUCCAUCACAGUAACAAAAGUGUCAGGAUUAAGUGAAAAGUGCCACGGUGACGUCAUUUAAACAAACAAGGGUGCUACACUAUGCCGUGUAUAACUGUGAAAUCUUCCCAAAAAAACAAUAAUCCUUAAAUGUUUUCUCCCCUUAAAUCCAGAAGAUCAAAUGUAAAAGAAAGUGCCAACAUUAGUAAACGGGACAUAACAACUUGAGUGAGUUCAGAGAUUUGUACAAAGUGCAACAGGAACAGAUCCCUUUCAGGGCGUUAAACUACUUUAAAGUGUUAAUAUGCACAGCUUUUAUGGUGAGACAAUUUUGUAAACGCAGUCAGACAUAUUUAAAUUUGGUCACAUUUAAAAUUCAAUCAUAUAGAAUUAUACAAUAAUAUAGAAUUAGCACACUUAAUAGUUAGCUUUGUACACAAAUACGUACUUUAGACCAAAUGUGGCCAAACUAACAGGAACCGAUUCAUUUUUAGCAGCAUCAGUGGCGCUUGUUGCCAGAGGGAAAAACACCUGAUUAGUUAAAAAAUGUCAUUUAAAAUAAAUGUAUAAAUACAUACAGUAUUGUAUAGUUGUAUAGUAACUGGCAGCCCUCUUUAGCAGGUUAGUAUAACUAGUACCCCACAGCCAGUGGUUUAUUGCACGAGGGCAGCAGGGAACAACUCCCUCUUGGCACGGACCAAACUCAGAGUGUCGAGCUGUCGGUAAAAUCAGACCCGACAUGCAAACACUCGCACAACCCGUCUUCUCCGAAGAGAUUCUGCAUAGAAUUGAAUAGAUGACAGGUCAGUUGUGGCCCUUUUGGAUAACGUUAAACUAUUCUAUGCAGGAUUUAAGGUUUCAGUUACUUUUUGGUCAAACCCAUUCAAAUGUCCCCGAGGAAAAGGGUCACGUUGAGGUGCAGUGAGUCACCCCAGCCAGCGGGGUUUCCACUGCACUACUGCACCAUUCAUCCACUCAUCAGUAGCAGCCGUCUCUCCAGUUGCUGUCACGCAGGGCACUGAGGGUGGACAAGCUCUUUGGAGGAGUCAGUAAACUGAGGAAAACAAUAAAGGAAUGGUCAAAUCUAAAGUCAGCCUGGUAAGACAGAUAAGGAUAUUUACUCAUUUGACAAUCUUAAUAGGAACGCAAACAAUAACUUAUAUUUAGUCCAGUAGUAAAAGGGUUUACCUUCGUGAUGGUUGGCCCACCUUGCUCCGGGGGGUGGAGCUUUGGGUGCUAACAAAGGAGGCGGGGCGGGGCAGGCUGCUGCGGGGCGUGUUUGUGGUGGAAGCAGGAGUCUUACUGAGCAUAGGGAUGCCUCUGACGCCCCCGUUACUUCCCCCGCCGCCAAUAUUCAGACACUGGAGGCUGGUGAGGGUCGGCACGGAGGCAGAGCCCUUGAUGGUGGGACUGACGUAGGCGGUGGCCUUCAGUGGUUGCCGUGAUAAUGAGGAGAAGUUCCCGACGCUCUGGACCCUGUUCUGCAGCUGGCCUGGGGAGGGGACUGGAGACGGGUGGGGAUAAAAGAUGAAAUUAGAUCCUUUUGCUGCAUGUGUAUUUCACAAUAAAGGUGAAUAAGAAAAACACUUCAACUCACUGGAGGACUGCAGUCGAGCCAGCCCACUGGACGAAUCAAAACUCUGGCUGUUACGAAGCAAACAAGGGGAAGCACUAGGAUUGGUUGGAUUGGGCACACUAGGCAUGCUGGGAGCUCUGACAAGGUUAGGCAUGCUCCUUCGCAGCUUAUCUGACAGAGACAGACAAACAAACGUCUAUGAAUGAAGUUAAACAACGCAGUAGGGCAGAUUGUAAUACAAUAGACCUGAUUACUGUCCUAAAAGCCUUAACAAUAAACCACUAUACUGUAUUGGCUGUCGGUCAUGCCCGUUCCUUUAUUACGUCCCUUAAAACGGCACAUAAAGCUGGCCGUGAUCUCCUUCAUCGUAACAACAGGUUCCAGCCCCCUCAGUCAGAUAUACACUCCUAAUCCUAAUCCCAUCAAACUCUCUCACGCCAGUCUGAGGGCUUAAAGCGGUUGUACAAGAGGCUUAGACAGAGUUAUUAUUAAGUGGUAAGGACAUCAGUGGGGGUGAUUAGAGAGGAAAGGCCGGCUGGAUUGUGAAAAUGAAAGAAAAUUACGAGAACCAACAUUUAAAAAGGUAAUGAAAUAAUAGGUUUAAAUUAGAUGUGUUUAAAGUUGGAUUGAUGUUAACUAAGAAAUUCUAAAUGUUUGUGAGGUUAAGUUCUUUUUGAAUUUAGUGAAAGACGUAGACUUACUCUCAUAUUCGGCUGGAUGCCGUGAUGAAGUUGCCCCCAAUACAAUACGCCAUACACAUGUUUGCAAAUACAGACAUAAAUGUUUCACGUACAAAAGAUAUAAACACAGAUAUCACCGAUUAGUUCCAUUGACAGACAGAUAUUGCAAAGUUAGCAUGUUUCUACUUCACUUUCACAACACCAAAAAUUUAAGUGAGACUCAGAAGAAAUUGAAUUUUGAGAGGAAAGUUUGACCAUUGUUGAUUUUGAUCCGUCUCCUGCAAGUCCCUCAACUUCAUGGACUCGCGAUACUAAAAUACCUGAGUGUAUUAAGUGUAUUUUUGGGUGGCAGUAGUCGGUCUCUUUUUAGCUCGGUGUUGGUCUCCUCCAUCGCCUAAGGAGAAAUAUCUGGCUCUUCCGCUGCCAAAUGCUACAUCAGAUAGUCGCCAAUUGGUUUUGUGACUUUGGUGCAGGGCAGGUGGUGUACAGUAGGUGUAUCAGAUCUUUUCUCACCUGAUCCUGGUCUGAAGCCAUGCUGCUCGACUGCGCAGAGGCUGCCCAGUCCCAGUCCCAGUGGCUGGAGCUGAGGCUGAAAGGCGAACCCAGCGGACGGGUACGGCGGUGUGGAGGGGGUGGAAGGUGGGGUGGACAGGGAACUGGUGCUUCUUCGCCAGUCUCGGAUGCUGGAGAAGGUGUGGGAGUGCGGCAGGCGGGUGAGGCGCGGCUGCGGCGGGGGAAGGAGGCCGUAGUCUUCGUCGUCCUCGUCUUCCUCGUCCAGGUCGGGGCCGGCACUGAGCUGGAAGGUGAAGCUCUGGCUGCGGCGGUUGGCCAGGAUGGACGACGUGCUGGCGUAGUCCUGUCUUAGACCUGGGAGAGCGAGACAUGAGGUACAGCGUGCAACACACACAAGGACAGGACACACACACACACACACACACACAAACACACAAUCAUCACCUUCUGGGGUUAAUGAAGCUGAAGUAGCGAUGAGCUCUGAGAUCUGGUGCCAUAUGUUAAAAUAUUAGAAAGGAGGGAACAGGAGAGACAGAUGGACAGCAGAAGAAGACAGUUGGUACACACAGAAACAACUACAACACACUGAAAUAACAGCAAAUAAAACAUGAAAUCCAUCACCAAAUCACUUCGUGCAACUGAGUUUAUCUUCAACAUAUCCCUAAAUAUACUCCCUCUCUGCCCCCACAGUUUGGAUACCAUUGAAAUGAAAGACCAAUACAACAAUUUGGGGUUUUAAUUAAACAAUUUCUCAUAGCAGGAGCUGUUCUGGGGACAGAAAUGCAGUCAGUAGGCAGAGCCAAACUACUGCACUGCUUCGUGUUGCGUGUCCCUUGAAUCGAAGCCGAGUCAACAACUUACUCUCCUCCUGCAGUCGGGCCAUGACCUGGACGUCGGUGAGGUCUUGCAGUUUGUAUCCCAGAGUGAUGGAGUCGUCCUCCAGCCAUGAAGCACCGAGGUCACCGUCCAUGGAUGACUGGGGACUGAGGGCGGAGCGCCGGAGGCUGUGGCCUUUAAAAACAAGAAUUAAACCAGCAGCUCUAAUGUCAACCAUCCAACAUCGUUGGGAUGAGCCGAGAGCCAGACCCGAUCCACAUCAGUGCUGGACCUCAUCAGUAAACGUGGGAGCUUUUAUGAACUGUCCACUGACCGAUGCAACAAAGAGAGCGGUGCAGCACAAACGCAUUUCGAAAAGACUCCAGACGUUGUUUUGAAAGUGUUGCCUCACACCAGCGCACCCCCGCAGCACCAUCUCCUCUCAUCAGAGGCCUCAGGCUGCCUGUUCAGCCUCCACACACACACACACACACACACACACUCUCUGGAGCCUCCGCAGUGACUCAUCACUCACACCAGGAUCUUCUUCAACAGGCCAACUCCUGGAUCUGGAGCUCAGCAGCCGCACUUCUGCUCCCUCUUCUUCUGUGGUGCAUGAUAUUAUGAAAUGAUGCCUGUGACCAUGUGGACACGUGGGUCAGGUGACCCGGGCCUGAUCUGCUUAAUGCUACAAGAAGUGGACAGAUUAGAGUGUGGAAGGUCUACUGUCCUGCUGAGGCGCAUUAGUCUCAGUGAAGUGAUGAAGGAGGAAAAGUGAUGAAUGUGGAGCUCGAAACACCCGGAGACUGAACUCCAGCUGAACUCCAGAGAGGUUUUCCUGCAUCGUUCAUUAGACGGAGAGAAACUCCUCCACCCUUCGAACACCCCCGCUCUCAGCACACAGCCGUGUGUUGAUGCACAAUAACUUCUAAUUCAACACCCUGUGAGAACAGUCUCUCGCACUGUCGGCUCUUUUGCUGCACAAACAGUGUGGGGGUCUCGUACCUUGUUCCAGGCGGAGGGACAGCGAUCUUCUGGCGGCCUCCACCUCUGAUUUGGGACAGUCCAGAGCCUGCCGGCACCACUGCAGGGGUGUGAGGGAGUCGUCUCGGGACUCUCUGUCUUUUGAUGACACAUACAACCUGGAGAGACACACAGAUUGAAAUGCUUCAAAUAAAAAAGGAGAUAAAGGAGUUUGGAGAAUCAUUGGUGAGCAAGAGUGUGCAGCCAUGCUAUCAGCUGUGAUCUCUUUGAUGCCAACAUGUGGGUGUUCAUGCUUUCCAUGCUAAUCAGCCCUAAACGAGGGCCUUAUCGGCAAGCUCUUUAUAAAAGCAGGGCUGCAUUACUGUGAGCAGAUUAAUCAGCCGCUUAGAUUAUGAGGAAGAGGAGCGGAUCAGAUAUAAACUGGCAGCCCUGAACUCUCUCCUCCACGUUUUUGCUCUGCGGGCAACACGGAGUGAGAUGAAUUAUAGAUUACAACCUUCAGUGGCAUCAGCUGAGACACAAACACACCUCCGCUACUAUUCCUAGACAUGCCUGCAAUGUGAAUAUGCCAAAUAAAGGAUGAAUCAGAAUGUGCUGCAGUGCAGAAUCAGUCCCUCUCUUUACUCUUCA